CAUACGGCGUGACAAGGGGCGCGGUAAGACGGUGUGUGCAAGUGUUAAUCGUAAUUACUGGGCGUAAAGCCCACGCAUGCGGUUGUAUAAGUUAGGUUAGAAAGCCCCGUGCUCAACCAGGGAAUUGCAUGUAAAUCUGUCCAGCUAGAGUCUUGUAGAGGGGGGGAGAAUUCCAGGGGUAGCGGUGAAAUGCGUAGAGAUCUGUAGGAAUACCGGUGGCGAAGGCGGCCCCCUGGACAAAGACUGACGCUCAGGUGCGAAAGCGUGGGGAGCAAACAGGAUUAGAUACCCUAGUAGUC
Molecule: ribosomal RNA, 299 nt
Filed under: uncultured Streptomyces sp.
Lineage: Bacteria; Bacillati; Actinomycetota; Actinomycetes; Kitasatosporales; Streptomycetaceae
Description: partial 16S ribosomal RNA
Rfam family: Bacterial small subunit ribosomal RNA
Source: RNAcentral